CUGCUUGUUUUGCUAGCCAAACUCUCGCGUAUAUGGCAAUGUUAAAACUACCGCUAAAUUGACACACUCCUGUCACAGGAAUGCAUUACAAACAAUACAACUUACCAUAAAACGGUACAUACAUUUAUUAUGUAAAUGAAUAAUUUAAUAAUACAUUAUUACAUGAAACCGCAGAAUAACAGCAAACAACUUUCAUGAAUUUACAACAGCACACCAGUUAUUAAUAAUCGGUAGGAAUGUUCAUACUGUUUACCUAACUAGCCUCAGAGGUAAUAAUUACAUCACUAAAGGCAGGAUACAAAUUCGAUUGUUCUCUCUGUGUACUUUAGUUUCCUCCACGAAUAGAAACUGACCCCCACGAUAUAAGCAAUAA
Molecule: long non-coding RNA, 373 nt
Filed under: Mytilus galloprovincialis (Mediterranean mussel)
Lineage: Eukaryota; Metazoa; Mollusca; Bivalvia; Mytilida; Mytilidae
Source: RNAcentral